GCGUGAACGUAGUAAUGAUGGGUAACUUGUUGAUUUAAAAUAAAGUUCAACGACCUUCUAAGUCGUGGGCCGCAGGUUCGAAUCCUGCAGGGCGCGCCA
RNAcentral lists this transfer RNA (99 nucleotides) under Escherichia albertii. RNAcentral's name for it is "tRNA-Arg". The stretch from base 34 to 90 matches the Rfam family "tRNA", at positions 6 to 65 of the family's 71-position model. Rfam says of the family: Transfer RNA (tRNA) molecules are approximately 80 nucleotides in length. Their secondary structure includes four short double-helical elements and three loops (D, anti-codon, and T loops). Lineage: Bacteria; Pseudomonadati; Pseudomonadota; Gammaproteobacteria; Enterobacterales; Enterobacteriaceae. The record is from RNAcentral.